AGGACGAACGCUGGCGGCGUGCUUAACACAUGCAAGUCGAGCGGUAAGGCCUUUCGGGGUACACGAGCGGCGAACGGGUGAGUAACACGUGGGUGAUCUGCCCUGCACUCUGGGAUAAGCCUGGGAAACUGGGUCUAAUACCGGAUAUGACCUGCUCUCGCAGUGGGGGGUGGGUGGAAAGAUUUUAGUCGGGUGCAGGAGUCGGGCCCGCGGCCUAUCAGUCUUUGGUUGGGUGGGUAAUCGGCCUACCAAGGCGACGACGGGUAGCCGACCUGGAGAGGGUCGACCGGCCAACGACGUGGGACUGAGACCACGGCCCAGACCUCCG
Molecule: ribosomal RNA, 328 nt
Filed under: uncultured soil bacterium
Lineage: Bacteria
Description: bacterial SSU rRNA
Rfam family: Bacterial small subunit ribosomal RNA
Source: RNAcentral